This 733-nucleotide long non-coding RNA is filed under the name Calidris pygmaea (Spoon-billed sandpiper). Its description in RNAcentral is "lncRNA (ENSCPGG00000001609.1)". Lineage: Eukaryota; Metazoa; Chordata; Aves; Charadriiformes; Scolopacidae. The record is from RNAcentral.
GGGACCCUCCGGUCGUGCGGGGAGGUCCUCCCAUGAUGGUGUUGUCCCCCUCCCCUCUAACGUGUGUCCCCCCCGGCUCUACCUUCCCCCCCCAGCUCCUGAAGUGAUCAACUAUGAACCUCUGAGCUCCGCGACCGACAUGUGGAGCAUCGGGGUCAUCACCUACAUCCUGCUCAGCGGCUUGUCCCCCUUCCAGGGCGAGACGGACGCCGAGACCCUCUCCAACGUGGUGGCCGGCGCCUACGAGUUCGAGGAGCGCUGCUUCAGCCAGACCUCCGAGAUGGCCAAGGACUUCAUCCGGCAGCUGCUGGUGAAGGAGCCAGAGUGAGUCCCCGUCCCCUCCCCACCCCCAUCCUGUCUCAUCUCCAUCCCCAUCCCAAUCUCCAUCUUCAUCCACAUUCCCAUCCCAAUCCCCAACUCUCCAUACCAAUCCCUUUCUCCAUCCCCAUCUCCAUCAUCUCCACCAUCCCCACCAUCUCCACCAUCCCCAUCUUCAUCCCCAUCUCUGUCUCCAUCCACAUUCCUAGCCCAAUCCUCAACCCUGUCCCCAUCUCCAUCAUCCCCAUCUCCAUCAUCCCCAUCUCCAUCAUCCCCAUCUCCAUCUCCAUCUGCAUUCCCAUCCCAAUCCCCAACACUGACCCCACCCCUAUCUGCAUCUCAAUCCCAGUUCCAGUCACUGUCCCCAUCUCCAUCAAUCCCAUCAUCCCCAUCAUCUUCACUGUCCCUAUCUCCG